RNAcentral lists this ribosomal RNA (502 nucleotides) under Penicillium rubens. RNAcentral describes it as "partial 18S ribosomal RNA". The stretch from base 142 to 294 matches the Rfam family "5.8S ribosomal RNA". The record is from RNAcentral. Lineage: Eukaryota; Fungi; Ascomycota; Eurotiomycetes; Eurotiales; Aspergillaceae.
GUGUUUAUUUUACCUUGUUGCUUCGGCGGGCCCGCCUUAACUGGCCGCCGGGGGGCUUACGCCCCCGGGCCCGCGCCCGCCGAAGACACCCUCGAACUCUGUCUGAAGAUUGUAGUCUGAGUGAAAAUAUAAAUUAUUUAAAACUUUCAACAACGGAUCUCUUGGUUCCGGCAUCGAUGAAGAACGCAGCGAAAUGCGAUACGUAAUGUGAAUUGCAAAUUCAGUGAAUCAUCGAGUCUUUGAACGCACAUUGCGCCCCCUGGUAUUCCGGGGGGCAUGCCUGUCCGAGCGUCAUUUCUGCCCUCAAGCACGGCUUGUGUGUUGGGCCCCGUCCUCCGAUCCCGGGGGACGGGCCCGAAAGGCAGCGGCGGCACCGCGUCCGGUCCUCGAGCGUAUGGGGCUUUGUCACCCGCUCUGUAGGCCCGGCCGGCGCUUGCCGAUCAACCCAAAUUUUUAUCCAGGUUGACCUCGGAUCAGGUAGGGAUACCCGCUGAACUUAAGC